CGAACUCCAGAUGAGUGCUGCGAAGUCAAUAAUUCUGAUAUCAAGUGAAGCGAGGUUUUGAUCAAAUAUCCGCAAAAAUAUAAACUGUAAGUUUUAUCGUCGUUCUUUUUAUUGGACUAAUUCUGUGCACUUUUUUCAAAUGGGCGAAAUUGACAUCGACGCCAAAAUGAGAAACCAUCGAAUGAAAUUUUCCAACAGAUAAUCAAUUCCCUAUUUCUUAAGAAGAAAUAGUUUGACCCUCAUUUCUGUUAACCACAUUCAUUGUAAGGUGUUUUAUCAUUCAAAGUAAUUUAACAUUUAUUAAUUUUAAUUUUGCGUUACAAUUCUGAGAAAAAAAUAGUAACGCCCAUUCCUGAACAUAGGUUGUGAUUGCGCCCUUCAGCAUAACCGCCUUAUGUCAAAUCAUAAAUCUAAUUGCGCCCCACUACCGAGUCCAAUUGGAAAACCAUCUGUCAAAUUCGCCUCUUUGUUUUCCUUUUUGCUGGAAACAGUUUCAAUUGCGCCCUUCUGCACGAAACAGUUUUGCGGUACAUUUUCCGAAGGAAAACUAUUAGUUUUUGUGAAAAAUCAAUAUUAUGCGCUGGUAAAAUCACCUCGUCGUCCUCAGCAGCAGGAACAGCCCGCUUGGACAGGCUAGCUGUUGUCAGGAGAAGCCGAAGCCAGGCAUAUAGAAUUCCUUCUAGGAAUCGUAUUGGGCCAGAGGAUGAAGCGUCUUUGCAUAUACUUUCGUCUGUAUGGGAAGGUGACGGAUCACCUGCGUCAGAAAUUCAGACGGGGGCAACUUUUUAAACCCCAUAGCGGCGAAGGUAUGUUACGAUUUUUUUUACUAUUUUGUUUAUUUGGUGCAGUGUGAUGAGCAGUGAACAGAAUAAAGGACUACGUUCACCGCGCUAUGUGUUAUCUAGCAAGGCUAAGUGCGAUUUAUGUACCAAAGUAUUCCAUCAUAAUUCGUCGCACAAUACCAUGUUUUCUACCUCUCAGUUUAGGGUAAAUAAUGCAAGCGCCUUGAAUUAACACUCAUAGUAACUGAUGGAAAAAAUAUGAUACAAUUUAUUUAACAAUCUUUGACCAUAAGCUCAUAUUUCAUCAAGAGCCCUGAAUUGAAAAGAGAAUUCAAAUUAGCCCUUUUGUCAUCGUUGUUUUGUGUGGGAGGAAAUGGGCGAAAUUGCACGC
This is a long non-coding RNA of Aedes aegypti (yellow fever mosquito), 1173 nucleotides long. RefSeq lists it as uncharacterized. Lineage: Eukaryota; Metazoa; Arthropoda; Insecta; Diptera; Culicidae. The record is from RefSeq and is a predicted model, not a curated record. The transcript is spliced from 2 exons.